Nematostella vectensis (starlet sea anemone) is the source of this 444-nucleotide long non-coding RNA. RefSeq lists it as uncharacterized. The transcript is spliced from 2 exons. Lineage: Eukaryota; Metazoa; Cnidaria; Anthozoa; Actiniaria; Edwardsiidae. The record is from RefSeq and is a predicted model, not a curated record.
UUACAAAAUGGAAGACAAGACGAAGGGCUAGUAUCCCUGUAAGUUUUUUUUAGAAUGCUCAAGGAUGAUUUCUACGACAUAAAAAUCAAGAAAACAGUUGGAUUGAGCCUCCAAAUGGAAUAGCGGCGGAAAAGGGCAAAUUCUAAAGUCGGCGGAAACGGAGGAAGGAAGGUGAAAGAACCUCGGCCUGAUCAAUCGAUAACUCGGUCGUCGAACUACAUCGAACCUUACUCGCUUCAUUGAUGCGAUAGACAAUCGAACACACUCUGACGUUUGCGUUCUGUAAUUGAAAUUUUUUUAUCGAACCAUAUAUCAAUCGGUUUACAAGCCCGUACGGAUUUUUUUCAGGUGCGAAUUUCAAAGUAGGUAAAUAAUAGAGUGACUAAAAAUAGAAAUUCCACAGAAUUUCUCUUAUAGAUUUUAAUAAAACGUCCUCUAAGUGUC